GCCGAAGUGGCGGAAUUGGUAGACGCGCUAGGUUCAGGGUCUAGUGGGAGUACUCCUGUCCGAGUUCAAAUCUCGGCUUCGGCACCA
This 87-nucleotide transfer RNA is filed under the name Deltaproteobacteria bacterium ADurb.Bin022. Its description in RNAcentral is "tRNA-Ser". It matches the Rfam family "tRNA". Rfam says of the family: Transfer RNA (tRNA) molecules are approximately 80 nucleotides in length. Their secondary structure includes four short double-helical elements and three loops (D, anti-codon, and T loops). Further hydrogen bonds mediate the characteristic L-shaped molecular structure. tRNAs have two regions of fundamental functional importance: the anti-codon, which is responsible for specific mRNA codon recognition, and the 3' end, to which the tRNAs corresponding amino acid is attached (by aminoacyl-tRNA synthetases). tRNAs cope with the degeneracy of the genetic code in two manners: having more than one tRNA (with a specific anti-codon) for a particular amino acid; and 'wobble' base-pairing, i.e. permitting non-standard base-pairing at the 3rd anti-codon position. The record is from RNAcentral. Lineage: Bacteria; Deltaproteobacteria. RNAcentral also lists the same sequence under 2 other names.